CGUCGCCGGAAAAGGAUUCAGGCCGCCGCCGGAGCUCCGGGCUGAGUUUCUGCCACUUGAGACCCUGCCGCCAUCGUGUGCCACCGCCGUUACCGUCACUGGUGUUUUUGCUCGCGAUUGUCACUUGGGGUUACUGACGGAGCCACUGCCGGGUUGAUAAGGAGCUGCGGCUGCUUCAUUUUGUUAUUUCAGAGUUAGAAUCUGGUUUGAUUAUGCC
Molecule: long non-coding RNA, 217 nt
Organism: Arachis stenosperma
Lineage: Eukaryota; Viridiplantae; Streptophyta; Magnoliopsida; Fabales; Fabaceae
Exons: 3
Source: RefSeq, a predicted model, not a curated record